AAUUAGUGAAUAUUAAUUUUUUGAGAGAAAAUACCAUUUUACCCCUAAAAUUUUUUAUUAGGAUUAAACUUGACUUUUUGAUCGGAAGGAAUUUGGGAUUUUUGACCAUAUCGUUGAUUAGAGCACGGCGAGAUGAGUCCGUAGACACGUGGUGGGCUCGAAUCGGAGUUCUAACGAGAGAGAUAUGAUCAAAAUACCCUCAGUGGCAUAACCGUAAUUUUGGAGAAAAGGGUUUUGAUAAAAAUCAGAUUUUUUUCUCUCUCUCUCUCUCUCUCUCUCUCUCUCUCUCUCUCUCUCUCUCUCUCUCUUUCUCCUUUGUGGCCCGACCCUUCCCCUUAUGCACUAUUCAUCCGAAUAGAUUUUGAGCCCACACCGCCACGUCCGGCCACGACCUGAACUGGGGCCGGUCCCAAAAUGACCGGCCAACUCUCCUUUCUCCGUUAUGCCCCUUCGCCGCCCCAGCCACCAACUACCGACGCCGAAAAAUGCCGAAAAGCUAGCGAUUUUAACCCAAAACUUCACGGAGUCGUUUCGAC
Molecule: long non-coding RNA, 536 nt
Filed under: Prunus persica (peach)
Lineage: Eukaryota; Viridiplantae; Streptophyta; Magnoliopsida; Rosales; Rosaceae
Description: long non-coding RNA (PPER_LNC000523)
Source: RNAcentral